GAGCGCGGCCAUGGAGGCGGGGAUCACCCGGUCCCAUCCCGAACCCGGCAGUUAAGCCCGCCCUCGCCGAAAGUACUACGGAGGUAAGUCCGUGGGAGGAUAGGGCGCCGCGCUCG
Molecule: ribosomal RNA, 116 nt
Organism: Cryptobacterium curtum DSM 15641
Lineage: Bacteria; Bacillati; Actinomycetota; Coriobacteriia; Eggerthellales; Eggerthellaceae
Source: Rfam